GGCGCAUUCGUCUAGGGGUCUAGGACGUCGGCCUCUCACGCCGGUAACAGGGGUUCGAAUCCCCUAUGCGCUA
RNAcentral lists this transfer RNA (73 nucleotides) under bacterium. Its description in RNAcentral is "tRNA-Glu". It matches the Rfam family "tRNA". Rfam says of the family: Transfer RNA (tRNA) molecules are approximately 80 nucleotides in length. Their secondary structure includes four short double-helical elements and three loops (D, anti-codon, and T loops). The record is from RNAcentral.